ACAUGCUUUCCAUAUUAUUCUUGUGAUGGUGGUGAGCUAAGUGAUUGAGAGACUCCGAGGUUUUUGCCGGAGAUUGAGAGUGACAGAGAGACUCCGAGGUCUUUGCCGGAGAUUGAGAGUGAUUGAAAGCCUCCGAGGUUUCUGCCGGAGAGCACGAGUGGUACAUGGACUUCGCGGGUCCCCCAUGGGUCAUGGCUUUGAGGCACUGCCCUUAGCAUGUGUGUACGAGAGUGGAGUGAGAGAGAGUACGAUCCAGGCUCCAGUUCUACACCCCGUGGGCGAUACGCGAGGGUGACAUCUUUCGAUAAUUCGGGGUGAGCUACUUGGUCAUCCGUGGCCCCCGAAGGACCUUCUCUAUUUAUUUUUUUUGUAUUCGACAGACAAUAUGUAGCCUUCGGGUAUUUUCAGACUUAUAUUCCGUACUAUGUUAGUGCUCUUGUACCCUUUGACCAGAUUUUGGGGUUGUCGUGACAUUUCUAGUUAUGAUAAGUAUUUAAGAUUAGAUAA
Molecule: long non-coding RNA, 507 nt
Organism: Lycium ferocissimum
Lineage: Eukaryota; Viridiplantae; Streptophyta; Magnoliopsida; Solanales; Solanaceae
Exons: 2
Source: RefSeq, a predicted model, not a curated record